UACAGAGGUCUCAAGCGUUGUUCGGAUUCAUUGGGCGUAAAGAGCUCGUAGGCGGUCUGUCACGUCGGCUGUGAAAACCCGAGGCUCAACCUCGGGCCUGCAGUCGAUACGGGCAAACUAGAGUGUUGCAGGGGAGACUGGAAUUCCUGGUGUAGCGGUGAAAUGCGCAGAUAUCAGGAGGAACACCGGUGGCGAAGGCGGGUCUCUGGGCAACAACUGACGCUGAGGAGCGAAAGCGUGGGGAGCGAACAGG
RNAcentral lists this ribosomal RNA (253 nucleotides) under uncultured bacterium. Its description in RNAcentral is "partial 16S ribosomal RNA". It matches the Rfam family "Bacterial small subunit ribosomal RNA", at positions 524 to 776 of the family's 1533-position model. The record is from RNAcentral.